RNAcentral lists this ribosomal RNA (1123 nucleotides) under uncultured bacterium. RNAcentral's name for it is "bacterial SSU rRNA". It matches the Rfam family "Bacterial small subunit ribosomal RNA", at positions 47 to 1162 of the family's 1533-position model. The record is from RNAcentral.
AUUGAUUUUAUGCUUGCAUAAAUGAUUUUUGGAUUCGGAGCGAGUGGCGAACUGGUGAGUAACACGUGGGUAACCUGCCCCGAAGCGGGGGAUAACAUUUGGAAACAAGUGCUAAUACCGCAUAAUUAGUUGGAACCGCAUGGUUCCAACUUGAAAGAUGGCUCUGCUAUCACUUUGGGAUGGACCCGCGCCGUAUUAGUUAGUUGGUGAGAUAAAAGCCCACCAAGACGAUGAUACGUAGCCGACCUGAGAGGGUAAUCGGCCACAUUGGGACUGAGACACGGCCCAGACUCCUACGGGAGGCAGCAGUAGGGAAUCUUCCACAAUGGACGAAAGUCUGAUGGAGCAACGCCGCGUGAGUGAUGAAGGUUUUCGGAUCGUAAAACUCUGUUGUUAAAGAAGAACAAGUGUUAGAGUAACUGUUAACACUUUGACGGUAUUUAACCAGAAAGCCACGGCUAACUACGUGCCAGCAGCCGCGGUAAUACGUAGGUGGCAAGCGUUGUCCGGAUUUAUUGGGCGUAAAGCGAGCGCAGGCGGUUUUGUAAGUCUGCUGUGAAAGCCCUCAGCUCAACUGAGGAAGUGCAGUGGAAACUACAAAACUUGAGUACAGAAGAGGAAAGUGGAACUCCAUGUGUAGCGGUGAAAUGCGUAGAUAUAUGGAAGAACACCAGUGGCGAAGGCGGCUUUCUGGUCUGUUACUGACGCUGAGGCUCGAAAGCAUGGGUAGCGAACAGGAUUAGAUACCCUGGUGGUCCAUGCCGUAAACGAUGAAUACUAGGUGUUGGAGGGUUUCCGCCCUCCAGUGCCGCAGCUAACGCAUUAAGUAUUCCGCCUGGGGAGUACGACCGCAAGGUUGAAACUCAAAGGAAUUGACGGGGGCCCGCACAAGUGGUGGAGCAUGUGGUUUAAUUCGAUGCUACGCGAAGAACCUUACCAGCUCUUGACAUCUUCUGCCAACCCAAGAGAUUGGGCGUUCCCUUCGGGGACAGAAUGACAGGUGGUGCAUGGUUGUCGUCAGCUCGUGUCGUGAGAUGUUGGGUUAAGUCCCGCAACGAGCGCAACCCUUAUUAUUAGUUGCCAGCAUUUAGUUGGGCACUCUAGUGAGACUGCCGGUGAUAAA